Long non-coding RNA from Bos taurus (domestic cattle), 2983 nucleotides. NCBI's taxonomy places the organism in Eukaryota, Metazoa, Chordata, Mammalia, Artiodactyla, Bovidae. The record is from Ensembl.
GGACACCUGGACGUCGCAGGACUACCCUUCCCCUGGCUCGCUGGGCCCCCAGCCCUGGUUUCUGGGGUCUGUAAGUAAUAAAUCUUAUGACUUAACAUUCUUUGUGUGAGUGUAUUGAAAUUGUGCCUUCAAUCAAAAUGACCCUGGGUUUCACUUCCUCUGGGUGGGGGUUCAGAUGCUGAGGGAGCAACUUGCUGACCCGAUGUGGGUGGUUUGUGCUCCUUGUUCAAUAGGUCGUGGUCUGCAUAUGCCUAAUUUAAUACUCCAGCUAUUCCCCUUCUCCCCCCAGCACAUCUGGUUCCUGGCCUUGGGGUGAUCUGAGCAGGGAACAGUGGUCCUGAGUGUAAGAGCUCAGUGGAGGAGGGGUUUGUACACAGAAGGCGUGAAAGUGAAAAAAUGAAAGUUGAUCAGUCGUGUCCGACUCUUUGCAACCCCAUGGACUCUACAGUCCAUGGAAUUCUCCAGGCCAGAAUACUGGAGUGAGUAGCUGUUCCCUUCUCCAAGGGAUCUUCCCAACCCAGGAAUCGAACCGGGGUCUCCUGCAUUGCAGGCAGAUUCUUUACCAGCUGAUGGAAGACAUGCUCACAGGCAAAUUGGAAUGACUUCCUUUCUCUAGGAACUGGUUAGUCCUGGGAGGAGCAGUGUCUCCGGGGUCAUCAAGGCUCUGGAUGUCAAAGCAUGAAAAACCAGAACUAAAAUGACAUGAUUAAUACACUCACUGCUUGGGGCUUGUACACCUGGUUGGCUCAGCUCCACUAGGGGUGGGGAGUAAUGCUCACCUGAGUCCUCUCUGUUCUGUUUGCCAGUGUAUUUGUGCCACCAGUACUGGUUACUCUGAUUAUAUAAUUUCAUUGAACAAUAUGUAAAUCAAUGAAAUAUGAGUGCCAGAGAAAGAUGUGUUGAUGAAAGGAAGAUGAAUUCCCUGAAAAGACUAGAUAGAGGCAGAUUGCUUUUUUUUUUUUUAGUGCUGUCAAUUUAAGUCCAGGCAAUACAACUAUAAACGAUUUAUGUUUUUAUAAAUCAUAAAAGCAUAGGAAGAUCUAUACUCCAUUGACUUUACAAACGUUGGUUUUUUUGUUGUUGUUAAUUCUUACUCCGUUUUAAAGAAAUCAAACCUGAAAGUUGUAGAAGAGAAGAUAGGUUUAGUUUAUGCAAAAAAAGAGAGGAGACUCCAGAUAAUAGACCUGGGCCUGUGUCAAGAGAUUGUUGAACAAAUACAUACUAUAUGAUUGAAGUGAAAAUAAAAUUUUUAAGAUACAUAAAUGUCUUUUGAUAAUUCUCAUCUUUACCUAACAUUUCUGUUAAUUGAUCAACUGAUAGCUCUAAUUGUGUCAGAUAAUGGAGUUUCUCCCAUUAUUGUCCCCAUUCUUAGAGAUGAGGAAAUUGAGGCUUAAGGAGACUAAUUUGCUCAAGAUUUGAACCUAGGUCUUUCUGGCUCCAAAGCGUGUACAUGUUCUAAAUCACUGCACCGGCUACAGUGUCUAUUUUAGCCAUUCAGUAUUUUUUGAAGAGAUAGAAAGAUGAGUAAGAACUGAUUCCUGCCCUUAGGAAAUUCAUGGACUUGUAGGAGAGGGCAUGGGCAUGUAAAUCAUUCAUUUUAUUAUGUGGAAUAAGUAAAAUUAUAGCAGUUCAUGACAGAGAUAGAGGAAGGAGUGGUACAUUUUCCAAGGUGUCAAGAAAGGUUUUGCAUAGGAGAUGCAAACCCAAAUUUUAAAUUUUUUAAAUAAAUAGGCAUAUAUCAGGUAGGGAGGGCUCUUAGCAGAGGGGACAGUAUAUGCAAAAUUAGAGAGGAUGGUAAGAGCCAUUCAAAGAAACACAGUGGUUCUGUGUCUGAAAGGUGAGGUGAUGGGAGAGUUCUCAAGCACCAGCUCAUGAAGAUCCAGUCAAGGAGUUGGGACUUGGUCAUCUAAAAGUUUGGCAGGGGGGAGGCACAAGAUUUAUUUUAUUUUUUGGCUGUGGCAGGUCUCCCUUGCUGCAUGCAGGCUUUCUCUAGUUGUGGUGAACAGGGUCUCGCUCUUUGUUCCUUUGUGUGGGCUUCUCAUUGCCGUGGCUUCUCUUCUUGUGGAGCACAGGCUCUGGGAUGCUUGGGCUUCAGUAACUGUGGCGUAUGAGCUUAGCUGCUCUGCGGCAUGUAGGACCUUCCCAGACCAGAGAUCGAACCUGUGUCCCAUGCACUGCAAGGCGGAUUCUUAGCCACUGGACCAUGGGGAAACCCCUGAAAGUCUUUAUUCAGGAGAGUAUGUGGCUAUGUUUGCAUUUUAGAUUACUCUAGCAGAGCGGGGGCUGGGUGCAGGCAAGGCUGGAAGAUGAACUGGACUGCAUUAAUCCAGGUGAAAAAUCACUGCUCUCAGUUGUGACACCAGCAGCUACAGUGAAUUCAUUAAAGGUUUUAGGAAGAACUGACAGGACUGUAUAACUAGAUGUGGAAUGCGGAGGCCAGCCGUGGGUCUGGGAGGAUGUCGGUGCACUCAACCACUAUGAACAACAGUACCAGUGAAGGAUAAAACAAUGAUUUUAGCUUUGGACACAAGUUUGAGUUUUCUGCAGGACCUUCAGGUGGAAAUGUUCAGCACAAUUAGAUAAUUGGCCUGGAGCUUAUGGGAGAAGUUGGGGCCGGAGAUAGAUUAGUGAUUGUCAGCAUACAGACAGGGCAUGAGAUGUGGAAGCAGCGUGAGGAGAAAGGGCUGGUGACAGAACCCUGAGAAGGGCGUCACUGGGAAGGAACUUCUGAAGCGGGGAGGGAAAAUCCCGGCAAGACCAUGGUAUCAGAGAAGGAAGGAAAGAAUUCCGAGCAGGUAUGCCAAUGGCCGGUCAUACCUCAUGCCACCGAAGGACCAAGUCAAGGGAGAGCUGAACACUGUCCAUGGCUGUGACCUUGGGUGUUUGGGUGAAGUCAAGCCCAGAUCACGGUGAGCUCAAGUGCUGGCUAGUUAGGAAAUCAAGCAGAAUACAGAAUAUGGGGAAACUCACAGAUUUGAAGAGG